Marmota monax (woodchuck) is the source of this 413-nucleotide long non-coding RNA. RefSeq lists it as uncharacterized. Lineage: Eukaryota; Metazoa; Chordata; Mammalia; Rodentia; Sciuridae. The record is from RefSeq and is a predicted model, not a curated record. The transcript has 2 exons.
GUGCAUUCAGACCGAGGAGGAGCAAGAGUCGUGACUCCAGGCAAGACAGGCUGCAUUUGUCCCAGGCUCCCCUCUGUCUGAGUUUUGGAAUAUAAACAUAGGAUUAAAGUAUGAUCUCUGCACCCAUUGGACAUCUUGGUUUUGUGUUUGUUUCUACGAAACACAUAAGGACAAUGAUGAAGAUGAAGAGAGAGGGAGACUGGCACCAAAUUGUUACACCAGUGCUUGCAAUUGGGCUCUACCAUACUGGGGCUUCACCCCCAUAAGACUGGAACCAAACCUGUUUUCCAUGAUCCUGACAAUACCAAAUGUGGCUCUAUACUUGAUGUAGAAUUUUAACAAAUUUUAAAGAUUAGUGUUAUAUAUUGUGAUUUGCUUAAUACAAGUUCAUUAAAUUUUAUAUCAAGGUCAAA